Molecule: transfer RNA, 83 nt
Filed under: Pseudomonadota bacterium
Lineage: Bacteria; Pseudomonadati; Pseudomonadota
Also listed under: 1 other name
Description: tRNA-Leu
Rfam family: tRNA
About the family: Transfer RNA (tRNA) molecules are approximately 80 nucleotides in length. Their secondary structure includes four short double-helical elements and three loops (D, anti-codon, and T loops). Further hydrogen bonds mediate the characteristic L-shaped molecular structure. tRNAs have two regions of fundamental functional importance: the anti-codon, which is responsible for specific mRNA codon recognition, and the 3' end, to which the tRNAs corresponding amino acid is attached (by aminoacyl-tRNA synthetases). tRNAs cope with the degeneracy of the genetic code in two manners: having more than one tRNA (with a specific anti-codon) for a particular amino acid; and 'wobble' base-pairing, i.e. permitting non-standard base-pairing at the 3rd anti-codon position.
Source: RNAcentral
GCCGAGGUGGCGGAAUUGGCAGACGCGCUAGGCUCAGGACUUAGUGGUUAACAGCCGUAGGGGUUCAACUCCCCUCCUCGGCA